This 449-nucleotide ribosomal RNA is filed under the name uncultured bacterium. RNAcentral's name for it is "partial 16S ribosomal RNA". It matches the Rfam family "Bacterial small subunit ribosomal RNA", at positions 338 to 795 of the family's 1533-position model. The record is from RNAcentral.
CCUACGGGGGGCAGCAGUAAGGAAUAUUGGUCAAUGGACGCAAGUCUGAACCAGCCAUGCCGCGUGGAGGAUGAAGGUCCUCUGGAUUGUAAACUUCUUUUAUUUGGGAAGAAACUCCCGAUUUCCAUCGGGAUUGACGGUACCAGAUGAAUAAGCACCGGCUAACUCCGUGCCAGCAGCCGCGGUAAUACGGAGGGUGCGGGCGUUAUCGGUAUUCAGUGGGCGUAGGGGGGGAGGUAAUGCGCUGGUGAAAUCUCCGGGCUUAACCCGGAAACUGCCAUUGAUACUAUUUGUCUUGAAUACUCUGGAGGUGAGCGGAAUAUGUCAUGUAGCGGUGAAAUGCUUAGAUAUGACAUAGAACACCCAUUGCGAAGGCAGCUCACUACGGAAAUAUUGACGCUGAGGCACGAAAGCGUGGGGAUCAAACAGGAUUAGAUACCCCUGUAGUC